ACUUAAAACCAUCGCGAACUUAUCCAAGUUGCUUCGGCGGCGCGGCUCCCCUCACGGGGGACCGCAGCCCCCGCCUCUCAGGAGGUAAGGGGCAGCCGCCGGAGGUACGAAACUCUGUAUUAUAAUGGUAUCUCUGAGUAUAAAACAAAUAAGUUAAAACUUUCAACAACGGAUCUCUUGGUUCUGGCAUCGAUGAAGAACGCAGCGAAAUGCGAUAAGUAAUGUGAAUUGCAGAAUUCAGUGAAUCAUCGAAUCUUUGAACGCACAUUGCGCCCGCUAGUACUCUAGCGGGCAUGCCUGUUCGAGCGUCAUUUCAACCCUCAAGCUCUGCUUGGUGUUGGGGCUCUACGUCUGACGUAGGCCCUGAAAGGAAGUGGCGGGCUCGCUACAACUCCGAGCGUAGUAAUUCAUUAUCUCGCUAGGGAAGUGUGGCGUUCUCCAGCCGUUAAAGACCCCAUCUUUAACCAAGGUUGACCUCGGAUCAGGUAGGAAUACCCGCUGAACUUAAGCAUAUCAAUAAGCGGAGGAA
Molecule: ribosomal RNA, 529 nt
Filed under: Coniochaeta sp. 6-18m
Lineage: Eukaryota; Fungi; Ascomycota; Sordariomycetes; Coniochaetales; Coniochaetaceae
Description: eukaryotic LSU rRNA
Rfam family: 5.8S ribosomal RNA (bases 158-311)
Source: RNAcentral